This 274-nucleotide long non-coding RNA is filed under the name Fragaria vesca (wild strawberry). Its description in RNAcentral is "long non-coding RNA (FVES_LNC002142)". Lineage: Eukaryota; Viridiplantae; Streptophyta; Magnoliopsida; Rosales; Rosaceae. The record is from RNAcentral.
UAAUUUCUGAACCUGGAUUCAUCGAUGGAUGAUAUCUUCCUUUUUGUUUGUUGUGACCUGUGAUGCGAAAUUGUUAACCAAUACAUAUGGAUAAUUGAUGUUAGUUGGAGUUGUUUAAUGGCAUUUGUUGUUCGUGAAUGAUGGUUAACACCUGAGUCUGGAUUGGUUGAUUCUGGAUGUGAAGUGACUAUGUUUAAAGAUUUAGCACUUUUCCUCGCACAACUAUUGUAGAUCAGAUGCCAAAGGAAGUAUGAAUACAGUUUGUUCACUUGGG